AUUGAACGCUGGCGGCAGGCUUAACACAUGCAAGUCGAGCGGGGGAAGGUAGCUUGCUACCGGACCUAGCGGCGGACGGGUGAGUAUGCUUAGGAAUCUGCCUAUUAGUGGGGGACAACAUCUCGAAAGGGAUGCUAAUACCGCAUACGUCCCACGGGAGAAAGCAGGGGAUCUUCGGACCUUGCGCUAAUAGAUGAGCCUAAGUCGGAUUAGCUAGUUGGUGGGGUAAAGGCCUACCAAGGCGACGAUCUGUAGCGGGUCUGAGAGGAUGAUCCGCCACACGGGGACUGGGACACGGCCCAGACUCCGACGGGAGGCAGCAGUGGGGAAUAUUGGACAAUGGGGGGAACCCUGAUCCAGCCAUGCCGCGUGUGUGAAGAAGGCCUUAUGGUUGUAAAGCACUUGAAGCGAGGAGGAGGCUACUUUAGUUAACACCUAGAGAUAGUGGACGUUACUCGCAGAAUAAGCACCGGCUAACUCUGUGCCAGCAGCCGCCGUAA
This 500-nucleotide ribosomal RNA is filed under the name uncultured bacterium. RNAcentral describes it as "partial 16S ribosomal RNA". It matches the Rfam family "Bacterial small subunit ribosomal RNA", at positions 30 to 523 of the family's 1533-position model. The record is from RNAcentral.